CUUCUCUCCCACAGCCCUCCCGAGCCGGCGCCUCCCUGGAACUUGGCUCUGCCCCCAGCGCAGGCGGGCACCGGCCGGCUCCGCGCUCCGCCGUCCGCAGCGCCCAGGUGCGGGUCCCGGCCGCCGGCCGCUGGGCUGCACUGCGCGCCGCGGGCCGCAGGGCUCCCUCCCGGCCAGGCUGGCUCCCGCCUCCCCGAGCCCCAGCCUCACCCCGCUGUCAUCACUACAUUGUAGAUGACCAGUUAUCUUCAGCUGGAAGAAAUCUAGUCCAAGAGAGUCAAAUAAUGUCUUCUGAAAAUUGAUCACAGGCCUCAGAGACUACUGGAGUUGUCAUCCUUGAUGUGAAGCUCUUUCUGCAGUUGUGUGAGAAUUUGGAAUAUGGGGAUCUUGCCCUGUUGCCCAGGCUGGAGUGCAGUGGCAUGAU
Molecule: non-coding RNA, 424 nt
Organism: Microcebus murinus (gray mouse lemur)
Lineage: Eukaryota; Metazoa; Chordata; Mammalia; Primates; Cheirogaleidae
Source: RefSeq, a predicted model, not a curated record